This 654-nucleotide long non-coding RNA is filed under the name Zostera marina. Its description in RNAcentral is "long non-coding RNA (ZMAR_LNC004274)". Lineage: Eukaryota; Viridiplantae; Streptophyta; Magnoliopsida; Alismatales; Zosteraceae. The record is from RNAcentral.
AAUCUAUAAUUUUAAUUUGUUAUCUGAAAAUAUCCAUCUACAAACCGUUAAUGUUGAAAUGAACGGUCAAUAUUAGUUUCAUAAAUCUAUAUAAACCUAAGACCACAUACAAAAAUCAUUCAUCCAUCUCUACCUUAUAUGACCAUGCCAUAUUACAACAUCUCAUGUUUCCUCAGCAUACAAAAUGAAGGCUUCAUCUUAUUUCAAAAUCUGUCGGUAAAGCUGUUGCUAAGAGUGGUGGAUCGUGUUAACAAAAGUAUCUCAACAUCUCUUAAUGGCGAUACCGCACUACACCAACAAUCAUCACCAUUGUCGACGUUUGUGAAUGCCAAAGUGGUCAAGAAUGAAGGCACGAAGUUAAUGAAAGGUAAUGAAAUAUUUGAUGUAAAAGGAUUGAAGAUGCUAGAGUCAGAGGCGAUUCACUUCUCUUUAUGCAAAUAAAUGGUAGUGAAUCGUAUUUGACCUUCUAUCCUCUUCUGCAUGAGAAUGAAUAACAAUAAUGGAUCCUUUCUAGCAAACGGCAAGGGAUCUUAAAUUUCCAUUCUCGGCCUUAUGUAAAGGAGUAUUUGACGGCAAUAAAUCUUCUUUGCAACAUCGACGUCUUCCUCGAUCUUCCUGUGAGCAAACGACGAUAUAUCUCCUUCUUGACGAUAU